RNAcentral lists this small RNA (1406 nucleotides) under Histoplasma capsulatum var. duboisii H88. Its description in RNAcentral is "Histoplasma capsulatum H88 hypothetical RNA". The record is from RNAcentral. Lineage: Eukaryota; Fungi; Ascomycota; Eurotiomycetes; Onygenales; Ajellomycetaceae.
AACCAUAGAAGCGAACUCCCACUCCUGGUAUUGGAGCCUGCAAUGCAGGCAAAUUUUUAGUAUUAAAAAUAACUUAUCCACUGUUCACUAUCUCAUCUCUACCCCGCCUUUUCUUUCAUUCAGUUCGUCUCUCAAUGACGAAAUGAUAUUUCCUUAUCAAGACAGUGAGCUAAUUGAAACUUGCCCCACCGUUGGUGUGAUAGCAACGCUGUUACAUCCGCUUUCCCCGUUCUGACAGAAUUUUCGGUGAAUUAUCUUUCCCUGGUGAUAAUUCACUGCCUGAGGCAUGAUUGGAGACCAUGAUCCCCCCAUAUCAAAAAUUGUAAUGCAUCCCCAGAAAUCCCAUCACGGAAAGUCCGCUUUAGCGUGAGGUGGGCGCAAGAAAUUUCGUUACGCCAAAUCGCAGGUUAACAGAAGCAAUGAAUAUCCAAAAUGCAGCAUAAUUCCAUACCUCUGUGGUCCGAUCACCCAUCGUUACAUAUCGCGAAUUCGUUGUCAGGUCUCAUUCACCCCCUUCUCUCAAGCCUAUCAUAACAAAUCGAUGGCAUCGAUAAUGGGGAAAAUGGGAAUAGCAUGCAAGUUGGACAAACCCUUCCCUACCCCUCAAGUUCCUCUCCCCAGCAGCCGAACACAUUCGAUCUGAGGUGCAUGGGCUCUUAGUUUGUAUUCGCAAGAGCUAUCGGGAUGUCCCCUACAAUCAUUGUUGCACGUCCCCUUUAAGGCGUACCCCCGUUUCCCCGACCCUGGCUGUUAUGGAAUUCCAUUGUAGGGUCCUCCUAUUAGCUGACUCGACCACCGAAGCCUGCUGAAAAUGCCUGCAGUGUGUAAGAACGCUUCCGGAUAGAACUCUUGCCAUUUCUUUUUUUUCUUUUCUUUUCUUUUCUUUCCUUCCCCCCCAUCUAAGGGUUGGGGGAACAUAAUAUUCAGUAUAUGGUUGAUAGCAGAAGUUCUUAGUGUUUAGGCCAGGUUAUAUAACAGGUACAAGAUUUUUGGGCUUAAACCUCUCACUCCAAUAUCUUGAUAACUGCGCUUACUCAUUGCCUCCUGGGGUUAGAUCGCUUCCUACCACGAUCGUUUAUAUUUAGCAGCUAGUUUGGUGUGGAUUCAUGAUUGAGAAGUGGUUGGUAUACAAUCAAGGAAGCAUUGUUCAAACUGCCUAUUAUGAAUGUCACUUAUUAUCAAUUUUAUAUCAUCGUGGCCUGAGAGUUUCCUAUCAUAAAAUUAUGGCUUUAAUCGAGAAAAAAAAGUAUGUCCUACGCCGGAGCUGGCAUAAUUACUGCUAACUGAUAGGGUCGAGUUGGGCGAGGGUCCUCUAAAUCAACUUGAUAGUGAGAGGAUUGAAAUGAAACUUAAUUCAUUCGUCGCGAUUAACUAGUUAUAGAUAGUAGACGAAAAUAAAUCCUGCU